RNAcentral lists this ribosomal RNA (674 nucleotides) under uncultured bacterium. RNAcentral's name for it is "bacterial SSU rRNA". It matches the Rfam family "Bacterial small subunit ribosomal RNA", at positions 70 to 767 of the family's 1533-position model. The record is from RNAcentral.
GAAACAUUUGAAGUGACUUAGUGGCGGACGGGUGAGUAACGCGUGGGUAACCUGCCCUGUACUGGGGGACAACAGUUGGAAACGGCUGCUAAUACCGCAUAAGCGCACAGCAUCGCAUGGUGCAGUGUGAAAAACUCCGGUGGUACAGGAUGGACCCGCGUCUGAUUAGCUAGUUGGUGGGGUAACGGCCUACCAAGGCGACGAUCAGUAGCCGGCCUGAGAGGGUGAACGGCCACAUUGGGACUGAGACACGGCCCAGACUCCUACGGGAGGCAGCAGUGGGGAAUAUUGCACAAUGGGCGCAAGCCUGAUGCAGCGACGCCGCGUGAGUGAUGAAGUAUUUCGGUAUGUAAAGCUCUAUCAGCAGGGAAGAAAAUGACGGUACCUGACUAAGAAGCACCGGCUAAAUACGUGCCAGCAGCCGCGGUAAUACGUAUGGUGCAAGCGUUAUCCGGAUUUACUGGGUGUAAAGGGAGCGUAGGCGGCAUGGCAAGUCAGAUGUGAAAGCCCGGGGCCCAACCCCGGAACUGCAUUUGAAACUGUCAGGCUAGAGUACCGGAGAGGUAAGCGGAAUUCCUAGUGUAGCGGUGAAAUGCGUAGAUAUUAGGAGGAACACCAGUGGCGAAGGCGGCUUACUGGACGGUAACUGACGCUGAGGCUCGAAAGCGUGGGGA